This 383-nucleotide unclassified non-coding RNA is filed under the name Hevea brasiliensis (rubber tree). Lineage: Eukaryota; Viridiplantae; Streptophyta; Magnoliopsida; Malpighiales; Euphorbiaceae. The record is from RNAcentral.
UUCAAUUGAGAUGGCUAAGCGGAACUUGAGGGGUACAUGGAACUUCACAAACCCUGGUGUGGUGAGCCAUAAUGAGAUUUUGGAGAUGUACAAGAGUUACAUUAACCCCAACUUUACAUGGGUUAACUUCACACUAGAGGAGCAAGCUAAGGUGAUUGUGGCACCACGAAGCAACAAUGAGAUGGAUGCAUCCAAGUUGAAGAAGGAGUUUCCGGAAUUGCUGUCAAUCAAGGAGUCCCUGAUCAAGUAUGUUUUUGAACCAAAUAAGAAAGUCUGAACUAAAGCAGCACCAUAGAUCUUAUGUUGCAUUACAAAUGCCUAAGAGUAUUGCUAGCGAUUCAAUUCUGCUAGUCAUUCAAUUUGGGUCAUCUCAUUUUUUCUAC